RNAcentral lists this ribosomal RNA (466 nucleotides) under uncultured bacterium. Its description in RNAcentral is "partial 16S ribosomal RNA". It matches the Rfam family "Bacterial small subunit ribosomal RNA", at positions 28 to 522 of the family's 1533-position model. The record is from RNAcentral.
GAUGAAUGCUGGCGGCGUGCCUAACACAUGCGAGUCGAGCGGUAACAGAUCUAGCUUGCUAGAUGCUGACGAGCGGCGGACGGCUGAGUAACGCGUGGGAACAUACCCCAAAGUGAGGGAUAACCGCCCGAAAGGGUGGCUAAUACCGCAUAUGGUCUUCGGAUUAAAGGAUUUAUCCGCUUCGGGAAUGGCCUGCGUGCGAUUAGAUAGUUGGUGAGGUAAUGGCUUACCAAGUCUACGAUCGUUAACUGGUUUGAGAGGAUGAUCAGUCAGACUGGAACUGAGACACGGUCCAGACUCCUACGGGAGGCAGCAGUGAGGAAUCUUCCACAAUGGGCGAAAGCCUGAUGGAGCAACGCCGCGUGCAGGGUGAAGGCCUUCGGGUUGUAAACUGCUUUUAUAAGUGAAGAAUAUGACGGUAACUUAUGAAUAAGCACCGGCUAACUACGUGCCAGCCGCCGCGGUA